AUCAGUUGCAAUGACACAACUCUUCAUUUUAUCCUGACUUUCCUCUAGCAACAGAGCCAUCUCUGCUGGGGCUGUUCGGCUUGGGAGAAGCAAUACAAAUGGGGCAUCCUCCUGAUCAGCUCACCUUUACCUAAAAGUUUGAUGCUGACACGUCCAUUCUCACAAUUUGGAGACCUUAAGCUGGGACAUGAGAAGCAAUAAGUAAGGCAAGGAAGAAGCAAAGAAAAAACAGUUUAUCUCCACGUUCUGACUUCAGAAGUUUACCCAAAUAAAGACCUAUUUUCCCCUGAA
Molecule: long non-coding RNA, 291 nt
Organism: Rhea pennata
Lineage: Eukaryota; Metazoa; Chordata; Aves; Rheiformes; Rheidae
Exons: 2
Source: RefSeq, a predicted model, not a curated record